Molecule: ribosomal RNA, 550 nt
Filed under: uncultured bacterium
Lineage: Bacteria
Description: bacterial SSU rRNA
Rfam family: Bacterial small subunit ribosomal RNA
Source: RNAcentral
UAGGGAAUCUUCGGCAAUGGACGGAAGUCUGACCGAGCAACGCCGCGUGAGUGAAGAAGGUUUUCGGAUCGUAAAGCUCUGUUGUAAGAGAAGAACGAGUGUGAGAGUGGAAAGUUCACACUGCGACGGUAUCUUACCAGAAAGGGACGGCUAACUACGUGCCAGCAGCCGCGGUAAUACGUAGGUCCCGAGCGUUGUCCGGAUUUAUUGGGCGUAAAGCGAGCGCAGGCGGUUAGAUAAGUCUGAAGUUAAAGGCUGUGGCUUAACCAUAGUAGGCUUUGGAAACUGUUUAACUUGAGUGCAAGAGGGGAGAGUGGAAUUCCAUGUGUAGCGGUGAAAUGCGUAGAUAUAUGGAGGAACACCGGUGGCGAAAGCGGCUCUCUGGCUUGUAACUGACGCUGAGGCUCGAAAGCGUGGGGAGCAAACAGGAUUAGAUACCCUGGUAGUCCACGCUGUAAACGAUGAGUGCUAGGUGUUAGACCCUUUCCGGGGUUUAGUGCCGUAGCUAACGCAUUAAGCACUCCGCCUGGGGAGUACGACCGCAAGGUUG